Molecule: ribosomal RNA, 1402 nt
Filed under: uncultured Blautia sp.
Lineage: Bacteria; Bacillati; Bacillota; Clostridia; Lachnospirales; Lachnospiraceae
Description: bacterial LSU rRNA
Rfam family: Bacterial large subunit ribosomal RNA
Source: RNAcentral
CCGGUACAAGCGAGGUACCAGUAUGGUAGGAAAAUCCGCCAUGCAAUGGGAAGACGUGAUGUGGAGUGAAAUAUAGUAACGAAGCCCGUGAGCCAUGCGUCAAGAAAAGCCGCUAUUGUUUAUAUUGUACCCGUACCGUAAACCGACACAGGUGGAUGAGGAGAGAAUCCUAAGGCCGGCGGAAGAAGUAUUGCCAAGGAACUCGGCAAAAUGGCCCCGUAACUUAGGGAGAAGGGGUGCCUGCGAGAGCAGGCCGCAGAGAAUAGGCUCAAGCAACUGUUUAGCAAAAACACAGGUCUAUGCGAAACCGAAAGGUGAGGUAUAUGGGCUGACGCCUGCCCGGUGCUGGAAGGUUAAGAGGAGAGGUCAGACGCAAGUCGAAGCUUUGAAUUUAAGCCCCAGUAAACGGCGGCCGUAACUAUAACGGUCCUAAGGUAGCGAAAUUCCUUGUCGGGUAAGUUCCGACCCGCACGAAAGGCGUAAUGAUUUGAGCGCUGUCUCGGCAAUACAUCCGGUGAAAUUGAAGUGCCAGUGAAGAUGCUGGCUACCCGCGCCAGGACGGAAAGACCCCAUGGAGCUUUACUCCAGUUUGGCACUGGGGUCCGGUGUUGCAUGUACAGGAUAGGUGGGAGGCUGAGAAACGGUAACGUCAGUUGCCGCGGAGCCGCUGUUGGGAUACCACCCUUGUGAUAUUGGGCUUCUAACCAGCCGCCGUGAUCCGGCGGUGGGACAAUGCCAGGCGGGGAGUUUGACUGGGGCGGUCGCCUCCGAAAGGGUAUCGGAGGCGCCCAAAGGUUCCCUCAGAAUGGACGGAAACCAUUCGAAGAGUGCAAAGGCAGAAGGGAGCUUGACUGCGACACCGACGGGUGGAGCAGGUACGAAAGUAGGGCUUAGUGAUCCGGUGGUAUUAAGUGGGAAUGCCAUCGCUCAACGGAUAAAAGCUACCCUGGGGAUAACAGGCUUAUCACUCCCAAGAGUUCACAUCGACGGAGUGGUUUGGCACCUCGAUGUCGGCUCAUCGCAUCCUGGGGCUGUAGUAGGUCCCAAGGGUUGGGCUGUUCGCCCAUUAAAGCGGUACGCGAGCUGGGUUCAGAACGUCGUGAGACAGUUCGGUCCCUAUCCGGCGUGGGCGCAGGAUAUCUGAGAGGAGCUGUCCUUAGUACGAGAGGACCGGGAUGGACGGACCGCUGGUGGACCGGUUGGCUUGCCAAAGCCAUGGCCGGGUAGCCAAGUCCGGAAGGGAUAAACGCUGAAGGCAUCUAAGCGUGAAGCCCCCCUCAAGAUGAGAUAUCCCAUUCUUAGUGAAGUAAACCCCCUUGAAGACGACGAGGUAGAUAGGGCAGAGGUGGAAGUGUGGUAACACAUGGAGCUGACUGUUACUAAUCGGGUGAGGGCUUGACCA